Long non-coding RNA from Mus musculus (house mouse), 3246 nucleotides. RefSeq annotates it as predicted gene, 34418. The record is from RefSeq and is a predicted model, not a curated record. Lineage: Eukaryota; Metazoa; Chordata; Mammalia; Rodentia; Muridae. The transcript has 2 exons.
CGCAGGAGGAGGAGCCAGAACCCAAACAGCAAUUUCUCAGUGCUUCCUAACUAACACACAAAAUCUAGUGCCUCGGGCCUGUCUUGUCACCCAGCCAGCCAGGGGCACCCCUGCCACCCAGACCUGAGGUUGGAGAGGGUCCUUGCUGCUGAAGUUUGGGGGUGGCUCCAGGCUGUGUGUGGGGCGCUCAUCUCCAGCCCGCAGGCAGGCGCAUGCCAGGAUGCUGGCUCGUUGCCCGGGCAGAGGAACACAGACUUGCUGCCGUGGAGUUAAUUAGGAAGAAGGGAGGUGGUGGAGGGAACUGGCAAACAAGAGAGGUGGGCCGUGCCAAGCGACUGAUGCCACGUGCCGCGCCCCGGGUUUUGGGUGGGAGAUGGGCAAAGCUGGCUGUUGGGAGGUCGCCUCACCCCGGGCGAUUCUGCACCUGCCAGAUCGGCAAACGGGACAACGGGACAAUGAGGCCCCACUGCUGGAUUUUAUCAGGUGCCUCCUGCAACAAGAGACCAGGCCCACCUCUCUCGGGGAUUCUGGGGAAAGCCCAGCUCCUCUGCAGAAGUCAGAAGCCACACCGGAGGUAAUUAACGCAGAGAAACUGGGAGGAAGAAGAAAUUACAGCUGGAACUCCUCCUUUGCACUGGGCCGGCCUCCCUGACUGCUCAGUAGACCCAGUGGCCAGGGCGCCUGCUCCUACUUGUGCAGGUGGAAGGGGUAUCACUGAUAUUUUUUUAAGAUUAAUUAAUUUUAAAAGGAUUUAUAUAUUUUAUGUGUAUGAGUACUUUGCCUGAAUGUAUGUCUGUGUACCAGGUGUGAACCUAUUUCUUGUGGAAACCAGAUAAGGACAUCAGAUCCCAUAGAACUGGCUGUAAGCUACCUUUUGGGUGCUAGGAACCAAAUUCGGGUCCUCUGUAAGAGCAGCAAGUGUUCUUAAUCCCUAAACUGUCCACCUCCCCAGCAUCUAAAUUUCAAACGCUAUUUUUAUGUUUACUUAUUUGUAUGUUGGGGGGGGGCACAAGUGUGCCAUAGCACAUGUGUGGACAUCCGAGAACAACUACGGGAGUCAAUUCUCUAGGGGGUCAAAGCCAGGUCAUUAGGCUUGGUGGCAAGUACCUUCAGCUACUCCCUGCCCUCUGGUGUCACCAUUGUUAAAGCACGUUGCUGGCCAGAGCUUUAACUCAGCAGGCUCUGUGUGCACACAUGUGUUUAUGUAUGCAUAUGUGUGCACACAUGUAUGUUUCCAUGUGUGUUCGUGUGUGUGUGUGGCUCAGAAGCUCCACAGCUCAGCAGCUUAGCUGCUUCUACACUUCAGGAAAACUUCUUGGCCUUGUGGAGAUGGCAAAACAGUUGCCCGACAAGCAUGGGACCUGAGUUCAAUCUGAAGAAUACACAUACAAGCCAGAUAUGGUGGCCCCUGCUUGUACUCCCAGGGCUGGGGAGAUGGGGACAGGGAGGCUCCUGGGGACAGGCCAGCCAGCUAGCCUGCUCAUUGGGUUUCAGGGCAACAAACAAGGUGACAGCACCCAAGGAAUGACAGCCAAGGUUGUCUUCUGAGUGCCAUACACAUUCACAUACACACCCAUGAACACACAUGGGAACAUACAGGUGUGCACUCAUGUGCAUACAUAAACACACGUGUACACACAUUCACACACACAUACAUGAGCAUACACCUGUGAACACACAUACGAACAUACAUGUGUGCACACAUUCACACACACACAUGAACAUACACCUGUGAACACACAUGUGAACAUAUGUGUGUGCACGCAUGUGCAUACAUAAACACACACGUGUGCAUGCACACAGACCUCACUGCUUUGGUAUCACAACCAUUUUCUUCAGUUGUUCCAACUGCCACCUAAAUCCCCAUAUAUCAUUCGUAUUGAGCCCUGGGCAAUGAAACACGUGCACAUAUGCACACUUACAUAGGGAUGUCAAUCCAGGGACAUUACAGAGCCUCUCUAGGAGCAUGGUAGCAGCUGUCCAAUGCCCUGGGGUUGCUCAGCCGAGCAAAGCUUCCAUUUUCAGGGAGCUUGGAGCACAGCUGUGCAUAGGGUCAAUGCCACAUUCUCUCCUAGCGGUUUGCUCCAGGAUCUCUGGGCAGGCCAUCAUGCCCUACCUGGGAUCUGAACCCUGGUCCUCGAGCUUGAAGAGCCACUUCCCCAGCUCCUGAUCUCUGGUUUUCAGCUGGAGGGUUUUGACUGUUCCUGUUUAAUGGGCUGUCUCUGGGGUGGGGCUCAUGUCCGACAUCUUGCCUUGUCCUUGCUGUUUAUCCCACCUGCUCUGUCCCUCCCUCCUCUCUGCCUUGUGUAUUUCUUAGGAUUCCAUUUGUUGCUGUGUCAAGGAUUAAUCAUGUAUCCCAGGCUGGCCUUGAACUUGAUUGUAGCCGAGGAUAGCAGCCUAUAACUUCUGCUCCUCCUGCCUCUAUUUUCCAGUGCUGGGAAUAUAGACCUGUGCUGCCAUAAUUACUUUAUGCCCAGUUCAUGUGGUGCUGGGGGUUGAGCCCGCUUAGACUCUCUUGGACCCCAGUUUAUCCUCUCAUGAAGGAAUAGCAGUGUGUGCUCGCCCAGCUCCGCAAGCCAUGUGUUGUGGUUCCCUCUGUCUUAUGUUAGGCAGUGUGCUGCAUUUGCACUGUGCGGUUGGUUGUUACCAGUUCAUUGUUAGUCUCUGCUCCCCAAAGUCCAAACAAGUGAGGCUCAGCCACCUGCCCCAAUACAUCCAACCCAGAGCCAAGCAGCGCCACCCUGGGGAAGCAGGAACCGCUGCACCUUGGAAGGAGAGAAGAGCCAUGAAAGAGCAGAGCGACUCAGAGAGCAAGGAGAUGGCGUCAGGCCAGCCACUGGCCUCAGGCAGCAACAGGGCCAAGCUCUACGGGGCUAUGGGUCGGAGGGAGGCAGGAGCUCACCUCCAGCACCCACAGAGCCUUGGCAGCAGGAGAGAAGUUAGCUUGAGAAACGCACGGAAUGGAUGAAGAGAAGAAAGCUCGGUCCACUUAAGUGCAUCGAACAUAAAUCGGAGGCUGGUUUCCAGCCCUCCAUAGAGCUGGCCUGGGUCCCCCUCUUUGUGCCGCACUCACAGCCCUGAGCUGUAGUCUGCUCAUCUUUAAGCCCAACAAUCCCCGUGCUAUCUCCCCAGCUUUUCAACCGCUGCAGCUCACGGCCCUGAACACAUUUUGUGAAGGGCUAGAGCUGGACAUAUGCGAACAAUUAAACUCCUCUAGAUCCUCCACCCAGGAGCCAGGCCCUGAGA